UUUUACCUUAAUUUAUUAUAUUGUUGUUGUUUUUUUGUUGAUUUAAUGUCAUAGUUGUAUUGUAGAAAUAACAAGAAGUGUUUUGGUAUAAAUUUUAUGAUUUUUGGUGAAGAUUUGAGUGAUUUAAAAAAAAGAAUACCCGACUGUAAAUUGCUCUUUUUACCACUUUCUGUGUGUUUUUGUGAAAAACUAAAACCAAAAAUGGAUUCUAUACGAAAAAUCGAGUGGGAAGGUAUAUUUUGGUGAAUUUUUGUGAUCAAAGAGGUCACUGGUGGCUAGAAGCUUGGUUUCGAUUGAGAAGAAGAAGAAAGAAAAAGAAAAGAAAGAAAAAAAGAGAAAGAAAAUAAAAGGCUGGGCUUUUGUUUAUUUUUAGUUGGGUUUAAGAGUGGAUUGGUUUUAUUUUUGACCUUGUAUUUUCAUUUGGCCUUCUGGACUUACUAAAGGCGGGUUGAUUCUAUUUUAGCUUGGGCUCGUGACUGGGUUUCGG
Molecule: long non-coding RNA, 487 nt
Filed under: Coffea arabica (coffee)
Lineage: Eukaryota; Viridiplantae; Streptophyta; Magnoliopsida; Gentianales; Rubiaceae
Description: long non-coding RNA (CARA_LNC001146)
Source: RNAcentral